Podarcis lilfordi (Lilford's wall lizard) is the source of this 3117-nucleotide non-coding RNA. NCBI's taxonomy places the organism in Eukaryota, Metazoa, Chordata, Lepidosauria, Squamata, Lacertidae. The record is from the annotation of a GenBank genome assembly.
GUCGGAGGUGGAAAAGAGCCAUGUGGGAUUGAUUCAAAGAGUAGCCCUGGGAGAGAGAAGUGGUUUCCGUUGAAUGGAAGCAUCCCAAUUCAUAGACACACCCCAGUCAAGCAAAAAAACUUCUGGUGCAAAGCAAAACCACUGAAGGAGGUGGUCCUAGGGAAAGUCCUGAGGGCCAGAUACAGGAGCAUGAAGGGCCACAUUUGCCCAUGGCCAGAAGUUCCCCAUUUCUGCUGUAGGUGUUCAAAUGUAUUUAAUAAAAUAAACAAACACAUCAAAGUGUUGUUUUGGUAACUACUGCUUUCCUUUUUUUCUUUAUGUAUUUCAGCAAUGUCUAUUAAAUUAAAUAGCUAAUGAUGUCUAUAUACAUGGGAAGUUUAGUGAGAGGCUCUUGGCAGAGCCAGAAAGGAUCAUGUCAGAUGGAUUUCAAUAACUAGCAUUAUAUCUGUUAUCAGGGUUCUGUUAUUAUCUCUUUCUGAAUAUGAUUCUGCUCUGAAAGUGUGCUGGCAAUGUAGUUAUUGAAAAAUUGCAGGCACCCAAGAUGUCUGAGCUUAGUGUAAAGCUGAGUGAUUACAGCUCUCGCUCUCUCUUUUUUUAAGAUAGUCCUUUGACACAGCUUCAUAGUAUCUCCGCCUGGUAUUUAGAGCUGAAGAGCCUAGAUAUCCGUUCCUAAAAUGGCACAUGCAUUUCUGACUUCUGCUGCUCUCCUUAGAAUUUGAGGAUUUGUGAGCACAGCAGUUCCAUUAGGAAUUGGAUAAUGUAGCAUGCACUUUCCACCAGGCUAUUUGUAUAUAUGCUUUUGAUGGAGCUGAAACGAUGGCGUGACCUUCUAAAAUGAACCACCAGCCAAUAUAUUUUCCAUGAACACCUGUAUCUCAUAUUUCCAGCUAAGUUAUAAAUAAAUAAUAAGCACACCUUUUAACUUGAAGUGCAUUUUGUUUGUUUCUUUCAGGUGCAUUAAGAAACCUUUGGCUUAAAAAUUUCUUUGUAGUCUUCUGAGCACAAUUGUAAGGGACAUGAAAAUGGCCAUAGUUGUGAACUGAGGCACCUCUAUUCACUUUUUUAGUGGUAGACUGCGAGCGACAUCAUGCGUUUGACAUAACUUUAUUUAUUUAUUUUUAAAUAUUACUUUUCCUCUAAAUGGAUCCCAUGGUGGUGAACAAUGAGCAUGGAUCAGACCAUUCCUACGAGAUACAGAUACAACAAAAGCACCAACAUUCACAAUGACAGGCAGCAAUGUACCUUAAAAGCUCUACUGCAGACUAAAUAAAGCAAAGAGAGAGAAAGCACUAGUGAGCUCUGCCCCCUUUCCCAAUGCUUCCAUGUUCAAAACAAGGUUAGUCCAGGGACAGCCAGCACAGAGUGCUCUAGAUGCUGGUGAACUGCAACUCCCAUCAUCCAUGACUAUUGGCCAUACUGACCCAGACUGAUGGGAGUUGGAAUCCACCAACAUCUGAAAUGCCAUAGCUACCCCAUCUCUGGCCUAUGGCAAAAUCUAAGUCAGGCCCUCUAGAUGUUGUUGGGUUCCAAUUCCCAUGGUCAAUAGUCAGUUGUACUUCAGCAGCACCUGGAGACACCACAUUUGGAGACACCCUUAUUUAUGGAUGUAAGAAGCCAUCAUUUUCUGUUCCGCCUUGUAUUUGUCACAUGCAGCAAGCACUGUUUCCAUUCAGCUACAAGUUGUCUUCUGCCAGAAACUACAUUAUUUGACUUUCUCUCUGCUGUGGCAAAAUUAUGUAACUUAUGCAAUUUACAUAAUUAAUUGUGCAAAUUGUCAGCAAAACUAUUGAUAGCUAAAAAUUGGAAAGCCACAAAGGGUUUAAAUGCACAAAAAAUGGCAUAAUGUAAUUUAGGAGAUAGCACUUUCUGAAAUAUUGAAGCAAAAAUUUUGUGUACCAAGGGGGCAAAAUAUAUGAGACACUUUUAUGGCAGACAGGUAGUCAAUCAUCCAGCACUUGAGCAAAGACUCAAACAACAACAACAACAACAACAACAACAACGAAAGCAGAUCAAACCCCAUUAUUUUUUCUUUAAAAAACAGACAAGCACCGGUAAAGCAAGCAGAUGCUCAGAUAAAUGUAUGAGAGAGGACUUCAAGGGGCAGGGGGAGAGAACACACAUGUGCAUAAGCUCUGCCCUUGCAACCCCACACACUCAAGUACCAACUCCAUUUCCACCCUCCAUGUUUUGUGCACAAUGACCUGAAAGGGGAUCAUUCGCACAUUCAACUGACUACGCUUAGACACCUCCUUGCAACUGGGAACAGUGGCCUGCAGUGGAGCUAGCACAUGCUGGAACUUUAGGGGGGACCCGUGCCAUUGCCCCCCUCACUUCAAGCCUGCUUACAUUGGCCCCAAAGUAUGAAUGGGGCUAUGAAUUAAAAAAGGUAUUUAAAUAUACCUUCCUCAAGAAACCAGAGGCCUUUCUCCUGGGCAUAGUCGGCCAAACGGUGUUAAAAAAGGAUAGAACUUUCUUUAUGUACGCAACAACAGCAGCAAGAAUACUCAUCGCAAAGUAUUGGAAGACACAAGAGCUUCCCACACUGGAGGAAUGGCAGAUGAAACUGAUGGACUAUAUGGAGCUGGCGGAAAUGACUGGCAGAAUCCGUGACCAGGGAGAAGAGUUGGUGGAGGAAGAUUGGAAGAAAUUCAAAGACUAUCUGCAGAAACACUGCAAAAUUAAAGAAUGUUAGAGUGAUGUUUGAUUGAAAAUAAGUGGCUUCUAGCUAUACAGGAUUUAAAGUUAUAUAUGGAUCAAGAUUAAGGAUGAGGAUUAAAAAAGUUAAAGGAAAUGGAAAUUUGGUUCUUAAGAGGUAAAAUUUAAUGUUAUAUUAUAUUAAGAUUAAAGAUUGGGAUUUAAAAAGAGGGAAAGAAAUUGCUGGACAAACAAUUGAACUGGAAUACAAAAGAGGGAGGUAUGAGGAGGUCCAGAAAAUAAGUAAAUUUAAGAAUGGAGAUGAAAAGUUGGUAUUGUUUUUAACUGUUUUCUUUUUUGUCUUUUGUUUUUUGUUAUUUUUGGAUUAUGUAUUGUGUACUUUUGAAUUGUGUAUUUUUCUUUUUCUUUUUAAUUUUUUUAUUGAUGUGUUCUUUUUAUUGGAAACCUUAAUAAAUUUUAUUU